This 301-nucleotide ribosomal RNA is filed under the name uncultured bacterium. RNAcentral's name for it is "partial 16S ribosomal RNA". It matches the Rfam family "Bacterial small subunit ribosomal RNA", at positions 509 to 809 of the family's 1533-position model. The record is from RNAcentral.
CAGCAGCCACGGUAAAACGGAGGGGGCUAGCGUUGUUCGGAAUUACUGGGCGUAAAGCGCACGUAGGCGGCUUGGUAAGUUAGAGGUGAAAGCCCGGAGCUCAACUCCGGAAUUGCCUUUAAGACUGCCGAGCUAGUAGGUGAGAGAGGUAAGUGGAAUUCCGAGUGUAGAGGUGAAAUUCGUAGAUAUUCGGAAGAACACCAGCGGCGAAGGCGGCUUACUGGCUCAUUCUAGACGCUGAGGUGCGAAAGCGUGGGGAGCAAACAGGAUUAGAUACCCGCGUAGUCCCUGUCUCUUAUAA